Chrysemys picta bellii (western painted turtle) is the source of this 426-nucleotide non-coding RNA. The record is from RefSeq and is a predicted model, not a curated record. Lineage: Eukaryota; Metazoa; Chordata; Testudines; Emydidae.
GCACAACAGCUAAUACCACAACCGCCGUCAGGACCGCUGCAGCAACAGAGGUUCCCCAAACACUCCGUACUACCACCGUCCCAGCUGGAAACACGACGGUUACAUUCCCAGGUACAGCUAGCCCCACUGUGGCUGCACCGAGCACUCCAGCAACUCAGAACUUCAGUGCAGCUCCAACCACGGACUCCGCUGCUAGGCCUAACUCCACAGCCCGGCCCGGGAUCCCAGAUGUCACGACAGAAGAGCAGACAACAGCGGUGCCCAGCUGCCACCCUCCAGCUGCCAACACACCUGGUGCUCGCCUCUUCCUAUCACUGGGACUGACCACUCGCCUGAACAUCAGCGAGCCCCAGGUCAGGGGUAUGGUUUUGUCUAAGGUGAGCUUGGUGAAAUCUGACAGCUCUCCCAUAGACUGUCAACGCAGAC